CCAACUGUUUUUGACACACACAAAAUUCCAGCUAUUCAUAAAAAGUAAAUAAAGGGUCCGGUUGUGUACACUUAACAUAUUGUGGGUUUCGAGUGUGCUUCACGGAGAGAUAAAUAGGUGCGAACAUGACGAAUUGGAGAAAAAAAUAGCUGCGAACGAACACGACGAAUUGGAGAAAAAAAAUAGCUGCGAACGAACACGACGAAUUGGAGAAAAACGAAUUGGAGAAAGAAAAAGAGCUGCGAACUUGACGAAUCGGAAAAAGAAAAGAUUGGAGCUUCUUGAUUGGAUUUUGAUUAUUCUGAAUUCGUUCUAGUUCGUUCUUUGAUUGAUUUCGAUUGUUCUUACAAAAUUGGAGAAAGAAAUACAGAGGUUUGGAGGCUUUGUGGCAUUUCUCAUUUACAUGAUCACAACUUUCACCCUCUACAAUCCUGUUUGGAGUUUCGUAGAUCAUAUUAAUGGCGAUGAACCAAGGAGAUACACAGUGAUAUGUAGGUUGAGAGGACACUUAGGUCCUGCAUGUAACGCUGUUGGACAUUUGGUAGUCAAGUUUGGGGGUUAACCAUUUUUAUUCAAAUCUUGUUUGGAGAUACUUAAAGUUUGGUAGGAAUGCACAUUCAGUUCUCCAGGUGAAGGUCCAUUUCGUAAAGAUGCUCUAAGUUGGUGUUGAGCUUCCUUUGAACCUGAGGGCAUAUGUUCUUUUCAUUUUGUCCAUUCAGAUGUUCGGGGGCUUAAUCCAUACCUUGAAUUCAUGCCUAUAAGUACUUUUUGGUAAUGGUUGAUGACAGUACUAGAUGCACUUGAAUUGUGAUAUUUGGAAAAAGUGGCAGACUCCAUUACUAUGGUAGAAAAUCGGUUUGCAAGAAGGACUAAACUGAUUAGAAAUGAUAAUCAAAUUGUGUUUAAGCCAGAUGAUUUGUGUAGAAGCAAGGGCAUUGUUCAUCAUUUUAUUUGUGUUGAAACAUCUAUUACUAGAAUGCUAGGGUUGGAAAGAAAGCAUCCAUACAUAUUAGGAGUGGCUCAGCCCUAAUGAAGCAGUCAUUCUUACCAAAAUAGUUGUGGACUUGCAAAGUUUUACAAGUUGUAUAUCUCAGUAACAGAAUGGCAUUGAUGAUGUUGAAUAAAAGUUCUCUUCAAAAUUUACAAUGUGCAUUUCUAGACGAUGAUAGCCUUAGAAUUUGUUGGUUUCCUUCGCUAUAUGUUUCCAACAAUUUGCUAGGUAGAACAACCAAUUCCACUCCUCAAUCCAGACCAUGAUUUCCACUAUACCUGUCCUGCCAUAUCAGCACAUUCUCUUGCACCAGGUUAUUGAUUUCCCGAUCUUUAAUUUAAGUAAAGCCUACUGAACUAGUGGUUACUACCACACCUUCAUACACACCCCUCCUCAUCUAUGUAAAUGACAUUGUGAUAGUUAAUCACAGUUCUCAUAAAUUUUCCAAAGUUAAGAAUGUGAUUGAUAGAAACAUAGGUAUAAAGGAUAUUGGAAAAAAUUUCUGGGCUUUGAAGUUUCCCAUUCACCAAGAGAUAUCUCUAUUUGUCACCGGCAUCACUGCCUCAAUUUUCUCACUGAUUAGAAAAUUCUUGGCAGCAAACUCCCGUUGACCUGGUUCUCACUUACAUUAAGAUGAUGGGCCUCUUUUUCAUGAUGUUGCUUUAUAUGGGUAUUUGGUUGUUAAAAUUCUAUAUUUGACCAUUGCUUUGCUUGAUAUAUCAUUUCCAGUGCAACAACUUUCCAAAUGUUCAUCCAAGGGUCACUAGGUCAUGGGUUUUCUUUAGUAGGACAUCUUCUCUAGACUUACGCAAUCACAAUUAUUGAGUUUGAAUUGGUUUCUUCAACUCGUGUAUGGACAAGCAAUGUAGUGGGGGAUCGCUGCUUCUGUUUGUAAUGCCAGUUAGGAGAGUCUGAGAAAAAAGAUAUAGAGAGAGAGGUUGAGAGAGAAAAGGGGAUGGGGAGGGAGACCAUCUGAAGGGUCCUUCUAAUUGAGGUGUAUUGUCUGAUUGGUCCGUUAGUACGCUUCAUGCACGUUUCCGAUAGACACAACCUCCAGCAAGUGAAUUUUCAAAUACCAGCGGGCAAGCUUGUAAAAAUGUGCAAGUGACUAUUGAGAGUAUCGAUAGACUUUGAGGAAAUUCACUUACCAACGAGCAUGUCGGUUGAAAAUGUGGUAGCAAAUAAAGGGCACCAAGAUUAGCAAUAAAUUGGUUAUGAAUCAGAGACUAGAAGUUGAUUCCAAAUGAUGUCCAUAUCUAGAGAUGGCUCUUAGUCUUAGUUGAGAGCUUUACCACUCCCUAACUUAGAUUUUGAGGCAAGUAAACUUCUAUGCUACUAUUUUGGAUCCAAGUCAAGUUUUAGAAAUUUAGGUCAAAUCUUAUUCUUUAAUUGAACGCAAAAAUUUGGUUUUGCAUUCAUAUGCAUAUUAUGAUCAUGUGUUGCAGGAAGAUGUGUUAUGUUUCAUCAGAUUGGUGUUAUCCAGCUAUUUAUAAAGGUACUGAAAUCUCAAUUUAGCUUUUAUUGAUUUGAUUUCUAGGCUAUGAUAUGAUUUCUAGGCUAUGAUAUGAUUUCUAGGCUAUGAUAUGCAAUGAAAGUUUAAAGACCUGACAAGCUCUACAUCUUUCAUUUUAUAAGUACACUUUUUACCAAAGUAAGUUUAAUAAAACCUAGAAUAGUCUUUUGUAUGUGUCUGUGUGUUCAUGUAAUACCUUUCAUCUAUUUUGUUGUGAUGUUUGCUUGUUGCUUGUUCCCUCCAUUUGUUUUUUUAAUCUUCUGUUUGCUACUUUUGAUUGUUUUCUGUUAGUGUUGCUUCUUCUAAUGAGAUUAUUGAGAGGUUGGUGUUUAAGGUGGUGAGUUAUUGAGAAAAUGAGAUUGUAGAUGAUUUGAAUAACAUGAAAUAGAAAAGAAACAAGAGAGAUAAGAGCUGGUUUGAGUUUGCAUCUAGUUUGGGUUUCGAGUCUGCUUCACAGAGAGAGAAAUAGGUGCGAACAUGACAAAUUGGAGAAAAAAAGAGCUGCCAACGAACAUGACAAAUUGGAGAAAGAAAAAGAGCUGCGAACUUGACGAAUCGGAAAAAGAAAAGAUCGGAGCUUCUUGAUUGGAUUUCGAUUAUUCUGAAUUCAUUCUAGUUUGUUCGUUGAUUGAUUUCGAUUGUUCUUACGAAAUUGGAGAAAGAAAUGCAGAGGUGUGUUCUUAAUUUUCGAUUUUCAAUCUUCUGCACUUUGAAUCAAAUUCUUUAUAAUUGAUUUGACCUGUCAUCUUCGUGUUUGGCA
Non-coding RNA from Cicer arietinum (chickpea), 3264 nucleotides. The record is from RefSeq and is a predicted model, not a curated record. Lineage: Eukaryota; Viridiplantae; Streptophyta; Magnoliopsida; Fabales; Fabaceae.